CCUUCGGGAUUAGUGGCGGACGGGUGAGUAACACGUGGGAACGUGCCCUUUGGUUCGGAACAACUCAGGGAAACUUGAGCUAAUACCGGAUGUGCCCUUCGGGGGAAAGAUUUAUCGCCAUUGGAGCGGCCCGCGUCUGAUUAGCUAGUUGGUGGGGUAAAGGCCCACCAAGGCGACGAUCAGUAGCUGGUCUGAGAGGAUGAUCAGCCACAUUGGGACUGAGACACGGCCCAAACUCCUACGGGAGGCAGCAGUGGGGAAUCUUGCGCAAUGGGCGAAAGCCUGACGCAGCCAUGCCGCGUGAAUGAUGAAGGUCUUAGGAUUGUAAAAUUCUUUCACCGGGGACGAUAAUGACGGUACCCGGAGAAGAAGCCCCGGCUAACUUCGUGCCAGCAGCCGCGGUAAUACGAAGGGGGCUAGCGUUGCUCGGAAUUACUGGGCGUAAAGGGAGCGUAGGCGGACUGUUUAGUCAGAGGUGAAAGCCCAGGGCUCAACCUUGGAAUUGCCUUUGAUACUGGCAGUCUUGAGUACGGAAGAGGUAUGUGGAACUCCGAGUGUAGAGGUGAAAUUCGUAGAUAUUCGGAAGAACACCAGUGGCGAAGGCGACAUACUGGUCCGUUACUGACGCUGAGGCUCGAAAGCGUGGGGAGCAAACAGGAUUAGAUACCCUGGUAGUCCACGCCGUAAACGAUGAGUGCUAGUUGUCGGCAUGCAUGCAUGUCGGUGACGCAGCUAACGCAUUAAGCACUCCGCCUGGGGAGUACGGUCGC
This 770-nucleotide ribosomal RNA is filed under the name Caulobacter sp. C_3BP8. Its description in RNAcentral is "bacterial SSU rRNA". It matches the Rfam family "Bacterial small subunit ribosomal RNA", at positions 83 to 889 of the family's 1533-position model. Lineage: Bacteria; Pseudomonadati; Pseudomonadota; Alphaproteobacteria; Caulobacterales; Caulobacteraceae. The record is from RNAcentral.